This is a long non-coding RNA of Amblyraja radiata (thorny skate), 207 nucleotides long. RefSeq lists it as uncharacterized. The transcript is spliced from 3 exons. The record is from RefSeq and is a predicted model, not a curated record. Lineage: Eukaryota; Metazoa; Chordata; Chondrichthyes; Rajiformes; Rajidae.
AGUGUCUCGAGCAUUUUUGUGUACGAGCGAGGACAGCAGAUUGACAUCCAUCCAUUGAGCAGCGGAACGUGUGAACGGCAGUCACCAUCAUGGCUGAUGGAGCGGACCAGGGAGGAGAUCCAGUGGCCUCGACAACGAGGACAGACGACGCUCCUCCAAUGUCUUCGAUGAUGGAGCUCCUGGAAAGGUGUGAUGAUUCGCAGCUGC